This is a non-coding RNA of Oryctolagus cuniculus (rabbit), 1422 nucleotides long. Lineage: Eukaryota; Metazoa; Chordata; Mammalia; Lagomorpha; Leporidae. The record is from RefSeq and is a predicted model, not a curated record.
GUGUCUCCCAUAGACCAGACCUGAUGUGAGGCAUGGGGGUGCCCUGGAGGGCAGGGCAGGCCAGGAAACGGGGAUCCUGCCACAGUCAACGGUCCAUAGCUAGCACCAUGCAGCUCUGCUCACUGACCGGCCCACUCCUCCUCCUCCACCUGCCCCAGACACCCUGAUGGCCAAGGCCUGGGACGGCCACGCUCUUCCUGUAAACUGCUCCGGCCUCAGUUUCCCCGGGGCCAGCGGGGUGUUUGCCGGCUGAUUGCGGGGGUGUUUUGCAGGCUUAGCUCCAGGGGAGCAGGAACAUGGUCAGAGGGGGCGUGCAGCCGGAGUGUGCAGAACGAGUGAAGGAACCAAGUGCAUUCAUUCCACCCCUUCCGAGGGGUUCCGCCUCUGGACGUCGCAGCGGCUGCCCGCGUUGUCAUCCAGGCCGAGGAGUGACGGAGGGAAUGGAUGAAUGAAGGAAUGUUGGUGCCCCCUCAAGUAAAACACAGCCUGUGCUCCCAAAGUCACACUUUCUCUUCUGCUUGGACCGUGGCUCUGAGCUUCACUCGCAAUACCUCUUCCAGGAAGUCUACCUGGAUCUCCACUUCUACCAGAUCAGACACCCGAGCUGGAACGGAGCUCCACCUGGCCAGGCCUUUGGGUGGCCGCCGGCCCACGCAGCAGACCAGACUCCUGAGCCCCCCAGCGCUGGGAGCCCCAGCCCCACCAUUUGGGGCAAUGCAGCUACACAGCAAUCACUCGCCCAUCCCAGACUGAGAGAGGUGUGGCCCGUAAGGCAGUCCAGGGUAGAACCACCUCCUCCAGGAAGUCCCCCCACCCCCGGCUUCCCCAGGCUGGUGAGAUGCUUUCAGAAUGUCUGGCCUCACCCAACCGCAUCUCACAGGUCGACUACCAGCAGUCCCAGGUGUCUCUGUGACCUCCCAGGCCUCGCCUCUGCCCCAAACCCAGACACCUGACAUCCCCUCCUGGCAGGGUCCUUCACGCUGCCACCAAGACAAAGCAGUAAGGAUCCAAUCACACCACCUGCAACUUGUGCCUGGCCCCAGGCUAGACUGCUGCAGCAUACUGUGACUUGUGCCUGGCCCCAGGCUAGACCACACAUCACCUCCAACUAAUGCCUGGCCCCAGGCUGGACUGCUGCAGCAUACUGUGACUUGUGCCUGGCCCCAGGCUAGACCACAUGCCACCUGAGACUUGUGCCUGGCCCCAGACUAGACCACACAUCACCUCCAACUAAUGCCUGGCCCCAGGCUAGACCACAUGCCACCUGGGACUUGUGCCUGCCCCCAGGCUAGACCACACACCACCUCCAACUAAUGCCUGGCCCCAGGCUAGACCACACACCACCUCUGACUAAUGCCUGGCCCCAGGCUAGACUGCUGUAGCAGUGAUUUGAUAUUUAAAAUGGAUCCUGUCCUUGUCUGA